This 547-nucleotide ribosomal RNA is filed under the name uncultured Glomeromycotina. Its description in RNAcentral is "SSU rRNA". It matches the Rfam family "Eukaryotic small subunit ribosomal RNA", at positions 548 to 1098 of the family's 1831-position model. Lineage: Eukaryota; Fungi; Glomeromycota. The record is from RNAcentral.
UUGGAGGGCAAGUCUGGUGCCAGCAGCCGCGGUAAUUCCAGCUCCAAUAGCGUAUAUUAAAGUUGUUGCAGUUAAAAAGCUCGUAGUUGAAUUUCGGGGUUCUUCCGUUGGUCAGGCUAACAAGUCUGUACUAGCGUGUAGAAUCUCUACCUUCUGGAGAACCAUCAUGUUAUUAAUUUAGCGUGGUGGGAAACCAGGACCUUUACCUUGAAAAAAUUAGAGUGUUCAAAGCAGGCUUACGUCUGAAUACAUUAGCAUGGAAUAAUAAAAUAGGACGGUGGUCCUGUUUUGUUGGUUUCUGAAUCACCGUAAUGAUUAAUAGGGAUAGUUGGGGGCAUUAGUAUUCAAUUGUCAGAGGUGAAAUUCUUGGAUUUAUUGAAGACUAACUUCUGCGAAAGCAUUUGCCAAGGAUGUUUUCAUUAAUCAAGAACGAAAGUUAGGGGAUCGAAGACGAUCAGAUACCGUCGUAGUCUUAACCAUAAACUAUGCCGACUAGGGAUCGGACGAUGUUAAAUUUUAUUGACUCGUUCGGCGCCUUACGGGAAAC